GCCCAUCCAGUAUGGUUGAUAUGACUCUCGGCUUGUAACCGAGUGGGUUCGGGUUUGAAUCCCGAGUUAGGCG
RNAcentral lists this transfer RNA (73 nucleotides) under Trichonephila inaurata madagascariensis. RNAcentral describes it as "tRNA-Thr". The stretch from base 13 to 65 matches the Rfam family "tRNA", at positions 8 to 63 of the family's 71-position model. Rfam says of the family: Transfer RNA (tRNA) molecules are approximately 80 nucleotides in length. Their secondary structure includes four short double-helical elements and three loops (D, anti-codon, and T loops). Further hydrogen bonds mediate the characteristic L-shaped molecular structure. tRNAs have two regions of fundamental functional importance: the anti-codon, which is responsible for specific mRNA codon recognition, and the 3' end, to which the tRNAs corresponding amino acid is attached (by aminoacyl-tRNA synthetases). tRNAs cope with the degeneracy of the genetic code in two manners: having more than one tRNA (with a specific anti-codon) for a particular amino acid; and 'wobble' base-pairing, i.e. permitting non-standard base-pairing at the 3rd anti-codon position. Lineage: Eukaryota; Metazoa; Arthropoda; Arachnida; Araneae; Nephilidae. The record is from RNAcentral.